RNAcentral lists this transfer RNA (62 nucleotides) under Argas africolumbae. Its description in RNAcentral is "tRNA-Trp". Lineage: Eukaryota; Metazoa; Arthropoda; Arachnida; Ixodida; Argasidae. The record is from RNAcentral.
AAGACUUUAAGUUAAGAAAACUAUAUACCUUCAAAGUAUAAAUUAUUCAAAAGUAAGUCUUA